CUUAAGUAUGUGCUCCUCGCUGUAAACAUGGACAAAUAAUAACAUAAAAAUGUGGGAUUUUAGAUGGGCGUAAUGAAGAGCAGAAUGCCCAUAAAGGACCUACAUACAAUC
This is a small nucleolar RNA of Lactuca sativa (garden lettuce), 111 nucleotides long. NCBI's taxonomy places the organism in Eukaryota, Viridiplantae, Streptophyta, Magnoliopsida, Asterales, Asteraceae. The record is from RefSeq and is a predicted model, not a curated record.